GCAAACUGGUGCAUUUGCAUACUCUGCUUUAGUGUAUAGUUAUUUAUUCGAGGAUUCAGUUUAGGAAUUUGUGGUGCGAGCAUUUAGCAUUGGAUGUAGUUUCGUUUUAUCUUUACGACAGGCCAGUUUACUUUAGGGUUAGACAAAAACACAAUAGUCUGCUAUCGGAGGAUUCACGGAUACCUCGGUCAUAUUGCUCGUUGACAGUCUAACAAUCUGGACAAGCUAAUGGUUGUAGGCAAGAUAGAAGGAAAAACACCACGCGGACGAUCACCUAGUCGAUGGUCGGACUAAGUAACCGCCGUUACGGGACUGUCUGUUGCAGUCGCCAGUGGCUGAAGACCGUGCGAAAUGGAGUAACAUUAUAAGAGACGCAACAGACACCUUUCAAGGACACAACCUUCAGUAAUGAAGUGGACGAAGUGAGAGAACUUAUAGCUGGACUAGGUAUAAUGUACACUACAAGAUGUGUAUUUUGCACCGUAAAAAACAGCAACAUCAAUCGCAAGAAACGUAUGAAAGAAUGAAAGACAUACAUUUAUUAUUCCAUU
This is a long non-coding RNA of Galleria mellonella (greater wax moth), 551 nucleotides long. RefSeq lists it as uncharacterized. NCBI's taxonomy places the organism in Eukaryota, Metazoa, Arthropoda, Insecta, Lepidoptera, Pyralidae. The record is from RefSeq and is a predicted model, not a curated record. The transcript has 3 exons.